Molecule: long non-coding RNA, 4448 nt
Filed under: Coffea arabica (coffee)
Lineage: Eukaryota; Viridiplantae; Streptophyta; Magnoliopsida; Gentianales; Rubiaceae
Description: long non-coding RNA (CARA_LNC006700)
Source: RNAcentral
ACUUAUUUCCUCCUCCACUUUUAAAUCAAUGGAUGUUAAUUUUUCAGUGUUGGUGGGCGUGAAUUGAAUUCCCACAUUGACAUGGUUCUACAUAACAAAUGCGAGUGCAUGAAUGAAUAUUUAAACUACUCUUCAAUCCCCAAGUGAAGAUAAGUCCUAGAGAAUUGCAGUAGUACAAUUCCGUAAAGAUUGGGCUUUCUUCUGCAUCAUCUGUUGCAUAAUUUAAUUUUGAAGUUGGCCUCAUGGAACUAUGUUAUUGCUGCAGCUACUUGAGGCGAGGUUUGGGAUGGCAGUUACCGAAAGUAGUAGGCUUUGAACUUUUCACCUCUUUGGUGAUGGCUUUUAUCAGCUGGCAGCUCUUUGCUGCAUGUCAGAGGCCAUCCAGCUAAGCAACAGCGAAUUUACAGAUGAGGAAAUGGGCUAGUUCUCUGUGGUACAAGCAUUCUUAAUGAUUGCCUUUUUCUUUCGAGGCUGGUUUAGGAAUAUAAAGGCGUUGUAUCUUUCUCUCGUGGAAUUUCAUGUCCCAAGGGAUUUUGGAUUAUGCAUUUGCAAAAUUUUGCAGCGAUAUGCAGUUUAGGGGGUCCUUUUCCAACAAUCACUUCGCAGUUUACAUGUGCGGUUGAUGGAUCUUUCAUUCCAAAAUGACUUGAAUGCUCCAUCGCUUUUUUAGGCACUUGAAAAAAGGUUGUUGUUACCUCAUAUCUCUUUCACUCAAUCCACAAAACCAUGAAACUAAAACCUACUCCUCGUCUUAAAACCCACUUAACAAACAUAGAUAAGAGUGCAUAUUCUGAAGGUGAAAAAAGAAACAAGAAAACUUGGCGAGCUGAUCAGCGUCCCCAAAUCUGACUGACAAUAUAGUGCUAAUGUCGCCAUUUACUGUCACCCAUAAAAUGUAGAACUAAUGGAGAAUUAACCUGGGAGUCCAUUUGAUCCAACCAUACAAGCUGCUAGGAAAGGAUAAGAAAAGGAUGACUACACGCAUGAAGAGUAAAGUUCUAGAGAAUAUACAGCAUAUUUUGUUUCAAAAUGGAUUAAAAAGCACACACAAGAAAAAGGAUGGAAGAGUUUUACCCUCUCUCUUACAGAAGUCACUGCAAAAGCAAAAACCAUUAAACGGAUCUGAAAAUACUUCAAAAUAAAGGCCUGCAUUACAUCCAGGUGCAUUAAACACAUCUAAGCAUAGCCAAACCCAACUUCCAAGCUCAAAACGUUAAUGCCCUUCUUAAUUCUUGCCCUCAUAUCUUCAUGGGCUUCCUACCCUUCAGAUUGAUCGGAGGCAGCCGAGUAACCGGAAUCACACCCUCUACCACUUUGAAGAUGCUGACGUCCAUUACUAUGUCAUCUGUUGCUGCUCCGGUCACAAGGUUGAACAGACACACAUCGAAUUCUUCAAGGAAAUUUUCAUGUACAAAUCUUUUCCAACCGCCCGCCAGUCCACCUGUACGAUAAUCCCUCUUAUAGAACCUCACCUUCCAAGUUUUGUCUUUCACUUGGAGUGUAAGAUCUUGGCUUCUGUUCGGCAUAUAUUUCGUUGCCCAUUCAGAAGGAAUUUGCUGCCAUUACAAUAUAAACAAUUAAAAUCUUCAAUUCUAAUCAUAUUUCAAAGAUAGGAAUACACAAACACGUACAUUCAAAAGAAAGUAUAUAACCAGAAAGAAAGGUUAUCAGCAAAAGUUUACCAGAUAAAAUCCCCUGUAAACAUGUGUCGGCCGCAUGACAACUAUAAAGGAGUUUUCAGAUGCUGAUGCACAUGCCAUCUUUAGGGCCUCAUCUUUAUCUUCCUCAGUCACUUGCCUCCUGUGCGACGCCGGGCCAGAAAAAACACUCCGAUUGAUGGAACCUUUUUUUUUUUUUUUUUUUGAAGUCAGAGUAAGUCAAAAAGCAUCACAUUGAAAUGUUGGAUUCUUCCCAACAACUGAGUGAAGAGUUUUUUACUGCAUUUGACAUUAUAACAAUCUAAAACCAACGAUGUGCUACAGGAAUUGAAACCAUUAUAGACUUUUUCUUUUAAGCUAUGUAUCCGGCACCACAAGGCUCUUAACUAAAUUUGGAUUUCUCUUAAGAUACUUACUACAUGUUCCCCGUUGCCGUCCUCGAGACCUUGGCGGCAAAGCACCAUGCUUUCUAGGUCUUUUUGAUGGGGUAGACUCAGAAACGUCGUGUGAAGCUUCAUUAGUAACCUCAAUAGUUUCUGUAGGAUUAUCCUUUCUUUUGCAUCCACCAUCGGUCCCUCCAUUCUCGCAUCUUUUUAUGAAAUAAGAACUCUCUUUCUCGCAUAAGCUUUGAUAGUCAAACAUCAAAACAUCAAAUCGCGAAGCCCCAACGUACUUAAAAAUUAAGACAUCAUUUUCCUUCAGAGAGUGAUCUACAACAAACUUUUUCCAUCCUUCUUUCAAAUACAGUGUAUCAUCAAUCAUUGUUAAUCCAGCCUUCCAUUCAAGGCCACUAGGACCUUUGAGUGAAACGGCUCCUACUAGCUUCUCUUUCAAAUUGUUGGCAAAUUUUUGGGGAAUAGCCUGCAUGUUUGGUUCAAAUCACAAAUUUUAGAGCACUGAAUUUGAUUGUGGGAGAGUGAAUCAGAUGAACAGAAAUAAAUAAAUAAACAUAUGUGUGUGUGUAUCUUGUUUUCGUUCCUGCUAAUGGUGACGGUUCACAAGUACAACUUUCUUGAGAACAGAUAAUACUACCUAUGUAGUGUAUUUAAAUUGAAAAUUUUCUCUCAUGUUGUUCUCAAGUUUAUUUUCUUCUCCAUUGUUCAUCCCAACUGGUAUGUGAAUAUACUGCUUCCUUUUUCCAAUGUACUGCUAAAAUGUACAAACGGGUGAGGAUUUAAAGCCUAUUUUUUGUAGAUGAACAACCAAAAAUUUUUUUUUUUAAAUAAUUACAAUGAUAAAUUGAAAAAAAAAAUUAAAAUCAUUACAAGUCAAUUUCUAUCUUGGAUGAUGAAAACGGGUUAAAUUAUCCAAAUCCGGAGGAGCCAGCAGUCCCCUCCUUAUGCAUGGCAAGUAGCAGCAGGCAUCUUUUUUCUAUGUUUCUUUAGCCCUUGAAAGAAUGCAGCUAAACUACGCAGGGGGAGGGGUGGGGGCGACUAAAAACUUACAAGUUGGUUUCGAUAAUUACGGCCAGAGAGAGUUUGAAAGAACUGAGCUGACUGAAAAUGGGACCAGUAAAUUUCUUCCUCCCACUUCCUACAGGCCCUGCCAUCAUCUCCCAUUUUUCUUCCACUAAUCAGCUUUAUUCUUCCUCCUGAAAUCGAACCAGACAAAAACAAGAAAAACCCUCAACCAGAAGCCAAAAAUACAAAAAAAAAAAAAAUGGAAGAUCAUUACAGAUAGAAUUGAGAUGACGAGAAGGUAGAAACAGAUGAGAGAAAAUCUCAACCAUAAAGCCAGAAGGUUACCUUGCCUAACUUUUUCUUAACAACGAGGUUUAUUUUUCUGUUGACAGGGUGGGCUUUUGCUGAUUCUGUUCUUCAUAGGUUGGCACCCCUUUGGGUAGGUGCUAGAGGUUUAGAGUUCACAUGGGACUACAUUUUGCAAGGACUAGAAGCAAAUGCAAAUUUGGUAAUUAGUUUCUGUACUUGAUAAUUUAAUUGUUAAAAGUUCAGUCGCGAUAUAGGAUUACAUGUUGGAGCGGACGAUAUUUUGCAGACAAUGAAAAGUUGUGUACUUGAGACUUUUCUAGUCCUUGAACUAAAUCCUUUUCCUGCCGUGUUGUUCUCUGUUUAUUCAGGUUUUGAGUAUAUCACUUGCUGCUUUGGGGUCUUUGAUGUGGCUUCGGAAGAACAAGCCCAAGACAUUGAUCCCUAUCAUAUACACGUGUGCAGGGAUUGUUGCGACAAUGCCAUCAAUAACGAGGUUCGCUUUUUCCUCACUUAUUUCCUCCUCCACUUUUAAAUCAAUGGAUGUUAAUUUUUCAGUGUUGGUGGGUGUGAAUUGAAUUGCCACAUUGGCAUGGUUCUACAUGACAAAUGGGAGUGCAUGAAUGAAUAUUUAAACUACUCUUUCAUCCCCGACUGAAGAUAAGUUGUAGAGAAUUGCAGUAGUACAAUUCCGUAAAGAUUGAGCUGUCUUCUGCAUCAUCUGUCGCAUAAUUUAAUUUUGAAGUUGGCCUCAUGGAACUAUGUUAUUGCUGCAGCUACUUGAGGCGAGGUUUGGGAUGGCAGUUACCGAAAGUAGUAGGCUUUGAACUUUUCACCUCUUUGGUGAUGGCUUUUAUCAGCUGGCAGCUCUUUGCUGCAUGUCAGAGGCCAUCGAGCUAAGCAACAGCGAAUUUACAGAUGAGGAAAUGGGCUAGUUCUCUGUGGUACAAGCAUUCUUAAUGAUUGCCUUUUUCUUUCGAGGCUGGUUUAGGAAUAUAAAGGCGUUGUAUCUUUCUCUUGUGGAAUUUCGUGUCCCAAGGGAUUUUGGAUUAUGCAUUUGCAAAAUUUUGCAGCGAUAUGCAAU